AUUGAACGCUGGCGGCAGGCCUAACACAUGCAAGUCGAACGAGUGGCGGACGGGUGAGUAAUGUCUGGGAAACUGCCUGAUGGAGGGGGAUAACUACUGGAAACGGUAGCUAAUACGGCAUACCAUCAGAUGUGCCCAGAUGGGAUUAGCUUGUUGGUGGGGUAACGGCUCACCAAGGCGACGAUCCCUAGCUGGUCUGAGAGGAGGACCAUCCACACUGUAACUGAGUCACGGUCCAGACUCCUACGGUAGGCAGCAGUGGGGAAUAUUGCACAAUGGCCGCUAGUCUGCUGCCGCCCUGCCGCGUGUAUGAAGAAGGCCUUCGGGUUGUAAAGUACUUUCAGCGGUGAGGCGUUACCCUCAGAAGAAGCCCCGGCUGCCUCCGUGCCAGCAGCCGCGGUAAUUC
This 406-nucleotide ribosomal RNA is filed under the name uncultured bacterium. RNAcentral's name for it is "partial 16S ribosomal RNA". It matches the Rfam family "Bacterial small subunit ribosomal RNA", at positions 30 to 526 of the family's 1533-position model. The record is from RNAcentral.